RNAcentral lists this ribosomal RNA (435 nucleotides) under uncultured bacterium. RNAcentral describes it as "partial 16S ribosomal RNA". It matches the Rfam family "Bacterial small subunit ribosomal RNA", at positions 29 to 507 of the family's 1533-position model. The record is from RNAcentral.
AACGAACGCUGGCGGCAUGCCUAACACAUGCAAGUCGAACGACUGCCUUCGGGUGAUAGUGGCGCACGGGUGCGUAACGCGUGGGAAUCUGGCCUUAGGUUCGGAAUAACAGUUGGAAACGGCUGCUAAUACCGGAUGAUAUCGUGAGAUCAAAGAUUUAAUGCCUGAGGAUGAGCCCGCGCUGGAUUAGGUAGUUGGUGGGGUAAAGGCCUACCAAGCUGACGAUCCAUAGCUGGGAUGAGAGGAUGAUCAGCCACACUGGGACUGAGACACGGCCCAGACUCCUACGCGAGGGGGCAGUGGGGGAUAUUGGACAAUCGGCGCAAGCCUGAACCAGCAAUGCCGCGUAAGUGAUGAAGGCGCGAGAGUAGUAAAGCUCUUUUACCCGGGGAGGUAAUGACGGUACCGGGAGAAUAAGCCCCGGCUAACUCCGUG